UUUUUUUCCACUGCUCAUUGAUUCUCCAGAACUAAGUCAUGAUUUGAUAUCACAACAAAAAAGUGGAAAUGCAUGGCAGCUGACUUGCUGAAGAACAAGACACACAUCACUGUCUGCUAGACAAGUUUCAGAUCACUGGUGGCCAGUGCCAACAUGCUAUAAUCCCCACACAAUAAGUCCAGCAGUCCUGAGCAAGAUGCUGGAGUUGAAAAUGGAUGCCCAGGAGAGUUACACACAAAGAAGGCUAACAUUGUCCAGUCCAGAAGCCGAGCCAG
This is a non-coding RNA of Lepisosteus oculatus (spotted gar), 275 nucleotides long. Lineage: Eukaryota; Metazoa; Chordata; Actinopteri; Semionotiformes; Lepisosteidae. The record is from RefSeq and is a predicted model, not a curated record.